AAGCCGGAGGCCUUCUUAAAGGACUUGGUUCGAGCAGAAACCCUAGGCACCGCUGCGUUCUCCUUCCGUCUGUCUCUCGGCUUCUCGCCCUCCUCGAACCCCCAAGUGUUUAGACCAAUCAACAUGUUUACUGCAAGGAAGAAAAUUCAGAAGGACAAGGGCGUAGAGCCCACUGAGUUUGAGGAGACUGUUGCGCAGGCAUUUUUUGAUUUGGAGAACCAUAACCAGGAUCUGAAGAGUGACUUGAAAGACCUUUAUAUCAAUUCGGCAGUUCAAAUGGAUGUAGCUGGCAACCGGAAAGCUGUUGUUAUACACGUACCCUACAGACUUCGGAAAGCAUAUAGGAAGAUUCAUUUGAGGCUGGUAAGAGAGUUGGAGAAGAAGUUCAGUGGCAAGGAUGUCGUUCUUAUCGCAACACGAAGGAUAUUGAGGCCACCCAAAAAAGGUUCAGCUGUUGUACGCCCUCGCAGUCGCACCCUCACUGCUGUUCAUGAUGCCACUUUGGAAGAUGUCGUGUACCCAGCAGAAAUUGUCGGGAAGCGUGUAAGAUAUCGUUUGGAUGGAUCCAAGAUCAUCAAGAUUUUUCUGGACCCAAAGGAACGCAACAACACGGAAUAUAAGCUGGAGACAUUCAGUGGAGUCUACCGCAAGCUCUGUGGGAAAGAUGUGGUGUUUGAAUAUCCUGUGACCGAGAGUGCAUGAAGAUGUUAUUGUGGGUAAGUCUAGUGAGAGUUUUUAGGCCUUCAAACCAGGACACAUUUUUGCUGAGAGGCAUUUGCUUUCGUUAUUUUGUUUGUUGUGAGAAUUGAAAGUUUUGAUGACUAUAUGAUAAUUAAUUUCAAUAUUUUGCCUUUACUGCCUUCUCAUGUAAAGGUUUCAAGACUCCAGAAUUAUCAUGGAUUCUAAUUCCAUUUAGAAGGCCCUAAAGACAUUCUUGUUUAAUCGAUCCAAUUGGUGAAUGGGUGUUAUCCUUGGUA
This is a non-coding RNA of Phoenix dactylifera (date palm), 977 nucleotides long. The record is from RefSeq and is a predicted model, not a curated record. NCBI's taxonomy places the organism in Eukaryota, Viridiplantae, Streptophyta, Magnoliopsida, Arecales, Arecaceae.